CAACGACACCAUCUCUGCAGAUCCAGGAAGCAGCGUCAGGAGGGACCGCCCUCAGAGGCUCUGGAGGACCCAGCUAAGCAAGUCUGCAGACUGCUGGGAGCCGACACGCACCUGCCUUUGACCUUCCUGCCGAGUCGUCCUGCAGCCACAGAUGGAGUCUCACUCUGCCACCCAGGCUGGAGUGCACUAUCUUGGCUCAAGGCAGUCUCAACCUCCUGACCUCAAGCGACCCUUCUGCCUCAGCCUCCUUAAUCUCUUUAUUUUUGAAUGAAGAUUUAACUGAUCUAUUUCCAGAGGGCAAAAAGCAAAAGUUAAGCCCAAACUGUAAGGGUACAGGUGUGUGGGGGUGCUUGGGGGUGGGUACCAAGAAGCUCCCAGGAAUUCUAAAGGAAG
Long non-coding RNA from Symphalangus syndactylus (siamang), 393 nucleotides. RefSeq lists it as uncharacterized. The record is from RefSeq and is a predicted model, not a curated record. NCBI's taxonomy places the organism in Eukaryota, Metazoa, Chordata, Mammalia, Primates, Hylobatidae.